AUAUCAGUUCACACAUUUGAGCGUUUUUGACCAGUAAACCACCACCCACUCAGAGCACGCCAGCAAAGGUGACAGAGUCACAGAGCUGGAACCGGAGCAGGAGCGGAUAUCAUCAACACUUGUCUCUGAACUUAAGCAUUAUCAGUGGAAACUUAAGAUGCAGAAGAUCACGACUGCUGUGACGAUCAACAGAGAUCCAGCAGACAUCGACACGAUCAGAAAUACAGAGACUGGAGGAACUGAAGAAGAGGAAAAGACAGACAGUCAUUAAUGUGAGUGAUUGAAUCAGUCUGAUCUACAACAGAAGACAGAGAUCAGCUCAGUGAAUAACUUGUGGAAGAACCUGAACAUGUGUGACAGAGCUGAGUGAUGUCCAGAUGUUGAGUCUGGUUGCUGAUGGGAUUGUUGAGCACACAGCUGUAGCUGUUUUUAUCCUGA
Molecule: long non-coding RNA, 438 nt
Organism: Carassius auratus (goldfish)
Lineage: Eukaryota; Metazoa; Chordata; Actinopteri; Cypriniformes; Cyprinidae
Exons: 3
Source: RefSeq, a predicted model, not a curated record